GGGUGGUCCCGCCAGCUGUGACUAGCGGUCAUCCUUGCCUUACAAGCAGGGGGUCGUUGGUUCGAGUCCGACUGCGCCCACCA
This 83-nucleotide transfer RNA is filed under the name Brooklawnia cerclae. RNAcentral describes it as "tRNA-Val". The record is from RNAcentral. Lineage: Bacteria; Bacillati; Actinomycetota; Actinomycetes; Propionibacteriales; Propionibacteriaceae.